RNAcentral lists this ribosomal RNA (218 nucleotides) under uncultured Carnobacteriaceae bacterium. RNAcentral describes it as "partial 16S ribosomal RNA". It matches the Rfam family "Bacterial small subunit ribosomal RNA", at positions 122 to 334 of the family's 1533-position model. Lineage: Bacteria; Bacillati; Bacillota; Bacilli; Lactobacillales; Carnobacteriaceae. The record is from RNAcentral.
GGACUUGCCCAUGAGCGGGGGACAACAUUCGGAAACGGAUGCUAAUACCCCAUAGGUGGAUUGGUCGCAUGACGAAUUCAUUAAAGGUGGCUUUGCUACCACUCAUGGAUAGCCUCGCGGCGUAUUAGCUAGUUGGUAAGGUAAUGGCUUACCAAGGCAGUGAUACGUAGCCGACUUGAGAGGGUGAUCGGCCACACUGGGACUGAGACACGGCCCAG